AUUCCAGCUCCAAUAGCGUAUAUUAAAGUUGUUGCAGUUAAAAAGCUCGUAGUUGGAUUUGUGGCGUACGGUGUGUUCCGGGCACUUGUUGUCUGAGUAACCUGCCGUUGCCAUCCUUGGGUGGAACCUGUGUGGCAUUAGGUUGUCGUGCAGGGGAUGCCCAUCCUUUACUGUGAAAAAAUUAGAGUGUUCAAAGCAGGCUUAUGCCGUUGAAUAUAUUAGCAUGGAAUAAUAAGAUAGGACUUGUUUGCUAUUUUGUUGGUUUGCGCAAUAGGUAAUGAUUAAUAGGGACAGUUGGGGGUAUUCGUAUUCCAUUGUCAGAGGUGAAAUUCUUGGAUUUUUGGAAGACGAACUACUGCGAAAGCAUUUACCAAGGAUGUUUUC
RNAcentral lists this ribosomal RNA (384 nucleotides) under Navicula sp. D08_051. RNAcentral's name for it is "SSU rRNA". It matches the Rfam family "Eukaryotic small subunit ribosomal RNA", at positions 582 to 971 of the family's 1831-position model. Lineage: Eukaryota; Bacillariophyta; Bacillariophyceae; Naviculales; Naviculaceae. The record is from RNAcentral.